AUUGUAUCACCAUAUGAUGUUAAGCGAAAUAAUUUUUCAUCCUGGAAUGUUAUUCAUCAGACGGAAAAUCCUGUUUAUAUGAGGAUACGAUCUACUAUAAACUAGUUAGACAAACAAUAUACAUUGACCCAUACUGCAUAAGGGAAGUAUAACGAAGGUAAGUACGACGUGAUCAUUUAUUAUUUAAAAAAAAUGCAUUUUAUCUACAUGUGUAUUGCGAUAUAAGUUUUUUAGAAUUUAUGAUACAAAACCAAUACAAAUAGGACAAGCAUUUGUUGCAUAUCUUAAAUGUUUGGCAUUUUGGUCGGUGAUGAUACCUCUUGUUUUUAUCAGCCAAUAUUUGACAAAACAGGUUUUGAUAAUAUUGUAAGUUGUUAUCAGGGGAAUAUAUGACAGAAAAUGUUUGGUAAUAUUUUCAUUUGCUAUUAAGCAUGUUAAGAGUAAAACAAUAUAUUCGGUUAAUUAGUGGACUCUUUAUACAUAUAUGGACGUACGUCUUCAUUGGCACGGUUAAUAUUUGAAAUAUUUGUGAUUUAGUUUUAAAUGUGUUUUAUACAUUUCGUUUUUGUAACUUAACCUUGAAAGAAUGUUUAUUUUAUUACCUGUAAUCAUGCAUAUACAUGUAUUGUACAAGUUUUCCCCUUAUAUUAAAUUGUUUAAAAUUUCAAAUCGAUGAAUGCAAAAUGGGUGCUUCAUUUAUAUAUUCAGAUACAUGUAUACAUUUUAAUUUGAUAUUUGCCAAAACAUCUUUUAACAAAAGUUAAACAAGGAGUUUGCAAGCCAUCACUGGACAGUGAUAUAAUGUUACGGUUUCCCCAUUUGUAAAAAUAAUUCAUUACUAUGACAAACAAACUUUUUUAGAUAAUUAAAAAUAGUCAUAUACAAGGAUACAAUUAUAUAUAACGAAUUCAUUAUUUUACGUUAAAACGUGGAAGAGGUUCAACGGAAGAAAACAACACCAAAGAAAAUAAUCAACUAUCGUGUAAUCUUAAAAUACAAAGAAAAACUGAUUUAUUUAAUAAGUGCCAAAUAAAUCUGAAUGAAAAAGUUGGUAUCUUACUUUACCUUUUUGAAAUGUGAGUUUAUUGACAACACUUAAAAAAGGGAAAACAAUAAUUGUCAAAAUACCACGAUAUACAACUGACUUUUUUUACUUUACGUUAAGGCAUUUGGUUAAAUGUUUGAUAUAUUUGUUUCAAAAUAACAGGAAAUAGAUAUACUCCAAUUGAUUAUAAAGAAUGAGGGGCAUUAGUGCCCGGUUUUGGCUCACGGAAAUAAAAUGUCUGAUAAGUGUUUCAAAGUGGCACAUAAUGUUUAGAAAUGAAAAGGGUCAAGAAAUAUAAAUGAAAAACAUAAAGAUUUUUAUCUGAUGACGUCACAAUUAAGUCAUAAUAAGUACCGUUUUUACAAAAACGCUAAAAAAUACAGAAUUUAUGCAGUUUUCCAUCAAUAUGUACAUUGUGGAAACAUCUCCCGAUAAUUUCAGAAAAGCUUUAUUAUAACUUUUGACAUAAUCUCACAAAAUAUAAAGUUGUUUUUGGGUGUGCACAUACUUUUCCAAACUAAAAUCUACUUAAAAUUUGAUGAAAAACAGAAAAUCAGGAUUUUUUUUCAAAAUAUACAAAUUUAGUCAUAGUUUUCAGAUUUGAUUUCGUUCAACGUAAUCAGUACGAUAUUUUACGUUUGAAGUUAGAUUCAAAACAAACCGGACAUAGUUUUAUAAUAUAGUUAAUUGCUACCUUAGUUUGAUAUUAAUAAGUAUUAAAAUGUGCUUUGUUAUUAAAUGCAAAUAUCAGUAUUUAGUUCAAAUAUAUAAUCUUAAAUCAAUCCUAAUUCUAUCUUAUUCAUUCUUAUGUGACGUCAUUUUUCAUUUUUUGAUGAUCUGUUUUACGAAUUCUAAUGACGUCAUUUUUUCGUCAUUUUUCAGUUUCAAAUAGGACGUCACUUGGCGUAGAGCUUUAAACUUAUUCGGAUGUGUCUACUUUUGUGUUUCAAAUGUCUGGUUAUGUAAAUGUAUUUCAGUUGUUUCCUGUAAUUAGUUAAUACUUCAGUUUUAUCAUGUACAUCUUUUGAAUAUUCAUUUUAUAAAAUUUACUGUUUGCAAAAGUAUAAAUUAUUCUAAUUAUAGGAUUUUCUGGUAACUACAGAAAACCCUUGCCGUUUUGGCACAACCUUUUUGAUCUUUUGGUCCUCGAUGCUGUUCAACUUUGUACUCGUUUCGGCUUUCAAACUUUUGUAUCUGGGCGUCACACGUAGGUCUUGUGUGGACAACAUACACUUCUGGCGUAUUAAAAUUUUGAACUUGUUGCCUUUGUUGGCUGUUGUUCGUGUGAUUCUUUGUCAAGUGUGUUCUCCAAUUUAUUUAUAUUGUAGUCCUGUGUGUCAUUUUGAUGUUAUAUUUCACAUGGCCAUAAAAGUGCGAGGUUUGGCAUGCCACAAAACCAGGUUCAACCCACCAUUUUUCCUUUAAAAAUGCCCUGUACCAAUCGAAUAUGGCCAUUGUUAUAUAUAUAGUUCGUUUCUGUGUGUAUUACAUUAUAACGUUGUGUCGCUUGUUUUCUCUUAUUUUGAGUGUAAAUUCACAUGCGAAAAAGUGUCGCGUACUUGUCUAUCCCAAAUUCAUGUAUUUGGUUUUGAUGUAUAUAUAUAUAUAUAUAUAUAUAUAUUAUAUUUAUCUCGUGGGAUUUUAUUAUGUGUGUUACAUUAGUGUUAUGUCGUUUCCCUCGGUUUUAUUGUUACCCCGAUUUUGUUUUUUUUGUCCAUGGAUAUGAGUUUUGAACAGCGGUAUACUACUGUUUAACGCGUUCAAUAUUGAAUCUGUUUUUUUAUUUUCUGAAUACCUUGCACACAUGUACCUUAGUCUAGUGAGGACAAAUCUAUCAAUAUGUGUGAUACAAUGUAACUUUUUAAUUUGCGGUAAUAUAUUGGCCAAAUAAGGGUCUUAUUGCCCCUACUCCUUUGAUAAUGUUCAAUACAUCUAAAAAUAGAAUGCUCUCCAUACAUUUGAUCAUGUUCAUUACAUCUAAAAAGAGAAUGUUCUUCAUCAAUUUGAUCAUGUUUAAUACAUCUUAAAAUAGAACGCUCUCCAUAUACUUUUUGAAAAUGUUCAAACAUCUAUUAUUUUCUUUUAUUAUAUAACAAAUGUCUUUAAAUUUAAUUAUUCAGUUGAUUUUUUUAUCCAACUUUACCUACAAAACACAGAUCAAAAUGACCUUUUAGGGUACAAAACAAAAAUUCAAACUGUGACAUUGAAAAAGGAUUCUUGUACGAUCACCAGUUUCUCGUUCGAGUAGGCGAUAAAACAUCAUAGAACUUACAUUUAGAAUAAUAAUAAAAUCAUAUAAUUAGUAAUGCUUAUCUUAUGCAUGAAUAUCAUUGUAAUAUUUUCAGAUCGUCGAUUUAAAAAUGAAAUACUUUUUUGGAGAAACUAUUGUACUACUCCUGAUCCUAUCGUGUGGUAAAUACACACAAUCUUUUAUGAAACAUUUUAAAAAAAUUGAAAUAUUUAAAAGCUGGUCUACUAAAAAAUAAGAACCAAUCGAAAGUGCAGUCUGGAAGUCUGCCAAAGUCAAAGGACAAAAGACAACAAAGAUGAUAAGCAACAGUUCCAAUUCAUAUACAAAUAAAAUUACCCUCACCAGCAAUCAGAAGAUGACAUCCAAACUUCUAACACCAGUUGCAUAAAUUAAAACAUGCUGUUUUACUCUAUUCAAUUCGUUCCUACUCAUUUACGUUUUUGUACGUAAAAAUAUAAACAAUUCCAAACAAUUGUUGUUAUAAUAAUCUUUGUUUUGAUUAAAAAAUAAUUUUCUUGUUUGUUUGCUUAAUUCAAACAUAAGAUCUGUAUUUUCAAAGUAAAAGUUAAACGAUUUUUAACAUGUUCAGAUACUCACAAUUCAAAAAGUUUUAAACAUAUCUGACUUUUAAAGUUCGUUUCUAUAUAUGAAUGUUGCAUUGUUGUUUGUUUUUUGUUGCACUUCUGUGUUCUGUUAUUUCGUUGUUUUCCUCUUAUAGUUGAUGUGUUUCCCUUUGUUUUAAUUUUUAGGCUGGAUUGUUUUCUUUUAAUCGAUUUAUGACUUUUGAACAGCAAUAUACUACUGUUGCAUUUAUUUGAAUUACCUUCAAAUUUCAUGCAGCAUGUGUGAUCUACAUGAUUCUAUACUUAAAUCUAACAGACUAUAUUCAACCGGUAUGAAAUUGAAACAAAAACAAUAUUGCAGUAAUUAUUUAUUUUGCAAGGCAAACUAAGUUUGUUAAACAUUCACUUUUUAUAUCUAGAAGAGAGGGGAGUGGAGGCACAACCCAGACACAGCGACAAGGUAGUAAGAUGUCAAGGAUACAGCAAACAACAAACUUCAGAUUCAAAUACUUUGUGUGACAAUUGUUGCAGAAGACACUUUAAACAAUACGACCUCGGAAGCUGUUAUUUUAACGCAUGCCAUUGUUGGCAUUGGUUAACUUGAUUCACAAUGAAUACCAGUAUAAUUUAUAAUCACACCUGACA
Molecule: long non-coding RNA, 4504 nt
Filed under: Mytilus galloprovincialis (Mediterranean mussel)
Lineage: Eukaryota; Metazoa; Mollusca; Bivalvia; Mytilida; Mytilidae
Source: RNAcentral